Molecule: ribosomal RNA, 460 nt
Filed under: uncultured bacterium
Lineage: Bacteria
Description: partial 16S ribosomal RNA
Rfam family: Bacterial small subunit ribosomal RNA
Source: RNAcentral
CCUACGGGAGGCAGCAGUGAGGAAUAUUGGUCAAUGGGCGUAAGCCUGAACCAGCCAAGUCGCGUGAGGGAUGAAGGUUCUAUGGAUCGUAAACCUCUUUUAUAAGGGAAUAAAGUGUGGGACGUGUCCUAUUUUGUAUGUACCUUAUGAAUAAGGAUCGGCUAACUCCGUGCCAGCAGCCGCGGUAAUACGGAGGAUCCGGGCGUUAUCCGGAUUUAUUGGGGUUAAUGGGUGCGCAGGGGGCUUUUUAAGUCAGCGGUGAAAGUCUGUGGUUCAACCAUAGAAUUGCCGUUGAAACUGGGGGGCUUGAGUAUGUUUGAGGCAGGCGGAAUGCGUGGUGUAGCGGUGAAAUGCUUAGAUAUCACGCAGAACCCCGAUUGCGAAGGCAGCCUGCCAAGCCAUGACUGACGCUGAUGCACGAAAGCGUGGGGAUCAAACAGGAUUAGAUACCCUUGUAGUC